This 222-nucleotide ribosomal RNA is filed under the name Triticum aestivum (bread wheat). Its description in RNAcentral is "partial small subunit ribosomal RNA". Lineage: Eukaryota; Viridiplantae; Streptophyta; Magnoliopsida; Poales; Poaceae. The record is from RNAcentral.
AUGCGUACCUUUGCUUGGAACUGCCGGGGUGUGGGGAACCGCCGGAUAGUUCGGGAAUUACUGGCGCUGUGCCAGUCACAUAACCCCAACCUUGUUUUCCUUUGUGAAACUAGGCAAACGGAGGAGAAAAUGGAGAAACUGAGAUGGAGAUUGGGCCUAAAAGGCUUUGAAGGGGUGGGAAGUGAUGGAAGAAGUGGGGGUCUAGCUCUCUACUGGCAUGAA